UUUCGACCUGAGGUCAGGCAAGAACACCCGCUGACCUUAAGCAUAUCAAUAAGCGGAGGAAAAGAAACU
Molecule: ribosomal RNA, 69 nt
Filed under: Trebouxia sp. 20 GS-2016
Lineage: Eukaryota; Viridiplantae; Chlorophyta; Trebouxiophyceae; Trebouxiales; Trebouxiaceae
Description: partial large subunit ribosomal RNA
Rfam family: Eukaryotic large subunit ribosomal RNA
Source: RNAcentral